This is a non-coding RNA of Podarcis muralis (Common wall lizard), 1746 nucleotides long. Lineage: Eukaryota; Metazoa; Chordata; Lepidosauria; Squamata; Lacertidae. The record is from RefSeq and is a predicted model, not a curated record.
GCAGUUAGGAGAGGCAGUUAGAGGAUGGGGAGUUAAGAUUAGGGUGAGAGAGAAAAGGACACUGGAAGAGAAUCUUCUCAGUUUAUAGUCUGGAAAUGGGACCGCAUCAGCAGUGACUUGAGUUGUAUGCAAAGGCUUGGAGAAAGCACCUGUUUGUACGGGAAGAUUUACAAGGCAAUCAGCAGUCAAGUAACUCCUUGAUAUCACAAGCACUUUUUGCUCAGUGUUUUGAGAGUUGGGAACAGAUUUUCAAGAGAUAUUAGCAAAAUACAUGAUGGCGUUUGAUCAGAAACACGGUGAUGCUGCAAUUUCUACACUUCAAGUUCAAGUGGAUGAUGUGAAAAAUGUCAUGAGCCAGAAUAUUGAAAAAGUCUUGGACAGAGAGGAACGGCUGAGUGAGCUGGCUGAUCGAAGCGAUGAUCUCCAAACAGCGGCUCACGGUUUCCAAAAGACGUCUACAAAGAUUUCAAGGAAGAUGUGGUGGAAAAACACUAAAAUGAUCAUAAUUAUUGUUAGCGUUGUCCUCGUCAUAGUAGUGUUCAUCAUCCUUUUAGCCACAGGCACCAUUCCAACAUAAGAAUCCUUUUAAGCAGUUUCAAACAAUGCACUGGCAUUCUAUAAAGAGUUCUAGAUUGAAAGGCACAAGUAUUUUUGUUUAAGUCUUCUAUCUACAAAUAAGUACAGUUAACAGCUACAAAUUGCUUUUACACACUAGUGUUUGCCGUUGGCUGGCAAGCAACCAGGGAUGGGAAACCUGUAGCCCUCCAGGUUCCUGGAUUACAAACCACAUUAUCCACAACCCUUUGCCAGGCUGGCUGGGGCUGGCAGGAAUUGGGAGUCCAACGAGGUCUGGAGGAUCACGGAUUUCCCAGCCCUGCAAUAAAGGAAUGAGCUAACUCCCCAUUUUAAAUAUUUUGCAUCAUAAAAAGUGACAAGGCAAUAGAUUUGCCUAUUAAGACAAAACCCUGAACAAAAUUCUCAAUGGUGCAGGAGUAGAAAUAUUAAGCCAAUACUAAUACUAAAUUUCUAAGCCAACUUGUUGCAUCUACUUCCUAUUCUGCACCCUUAUAUGCUUAAGGCCCACAUUCUACAAAUACUGGUGUUUAAGGGUUAAAUAAUAAUAAUAAUCUGAUACCAAGUAGGAAAAGUUCUUUAUUAAAGGGGGAAAGUUGUGCUAUAGGCAAGAGCAGGCUUGAGAACUCUAGACCACAAUGUCCUGCCCAAAGGUUUUUUGCUUAUUCUCACACUACAUGAUUCUUCACUGCAGUUCGGUUUCAUGUUUAUUAAGCGAUAGCCUGAUAAAGAAAUCGAGCCCUAGUGCAGGUGUAUCUCAUGCCUGGAGCCUCUCUAGCUGAAAAACUUUUAGUGUCUGAACUUCAGUCAAUAGCUAUAUGUCCAGACACACAUGACUGCAAUGUAUGGAGCCCCAGCAUUUUAUAUGUAAGAAUUUUGGGAAAGAGCAGUGAGAAAGAUGCUGGGGUUUGCUGCCAGCCACUGGUGACAGCAGGUAGACGGACCCUAAAAAAGCACCUCCUUAGAGCCAUGAGAACAUGUUGAGACGAACAGAUUGUGCAAUACAAGCCAUGGCAGAAGCAAUUCAUUCUGCAGUCUCUUACUCCAGAGUAGACUAUCAGGAGCCUUCAGAGUACUUACCCAAUUGACGGUUAUAACAAUCAGUACAAAAUUAAUGAAAUGCUUAAAAGUGCUGUCUUUCUUGAUUCAACUGCUUAUAGAAAUGCUUUGUUU